UGGCAUAACAGAGAUUAAUGGCUAGGGAACACCAAAGGAUCGCACAACCUUGGGGCACGUUAGAGGAGCUAUUGCUAGCAUGUGCCGUGAACCGCCACGGUACCCAGAGCUGGGACUCCGUCGCUGUUGAAGUACAGAACCGAACCACCACUCUCUCCUCCCUCACUUCUCAACACUGUAUAGACAAGUUCAACGACCUUAAACGCCGGUUCAUGCCCUCAAACGACACAUCUGCCAGCCUCGUUUCCAUGGUCGAUGAACUCCGUAGGAUUCGCGUGGAGGAGCUUCGACGCGAGGUCCAACGACGUGAUGUGUCGAUCGUGUCGCUUGAAUUAAAGGUAAAGAGAUUAGAGGACGAGAGAGAGCGCAGUUUGAGAGAAGAGGCAGAUCUGGCGAGGGAGAAAGGGACCUCUCCGGAACUAAUCGUCGGGAAAUCCGCCCACGGUAACGAGUCUGGUGAUGAGCGAGAUAAUCGAUCUUUCAACGAGUCAAACUCCACCAGUCAACAAAAAGCUGAAAGGACAACGAUGAUAGAUCAAAACGACGCCGUAAAUGGAGAGCCUGAUAUAAAACCCAAACCAGCAAAUACAAAUGAGAAGAAUCCGGUUCAUACUGGAUCCGACCCAGAGGCUGAGAGGGAUUGGUCCCACAACGGUAAGUUGCGCGAGGUUGAUGAUGACGAAAAUGAUAAAAUACCGACGGAUAAAAAGGAACCUGAAAUAAAAACGAGUCAGACGACGGGUGGGCUCGGCGAGUCGAAUGAGCUGGGCGAGUCGGUGGGAGAGUCUAAGCGGGAAGAUAAAGAGAAGNNNNNNNNNNCAAAGCUCAGCUAGCUUGUCACUGAAGAGGAAUAAUCGACGUCGUAAGUUGAUUACUGGCGGUGGAAACGGGGUUGGAGUUGGUAGCAGUAGUGGAGAGGAGCCCGAAGGUGGUGACGAGGUUUCUCCCGCCAUGAAGCGGAUGCCUGCCGUCAAAUCUGAGCCGUUAGUUAAACUCCUAGGGAUCAUUCGGUCUCAUCGGCUUGGCUCUGUGUUCGAGCGGCGGCUUCAAAGUCAGGAAUCUAAAAGGUAUAAAAAAUUGAUCAAGCAGCAUAUAGAUCUUCAAAUGAUUCAAUGUAGGCUUGAUGGAGGGGCUUACUCUCUAUGUCUUCAAAAAUUUUUCAGAGAUCUUCUCCUUUUAUUCAACAAUGCUAUUACUUUCUUUGGAAAAAAUUCACCAGAAAAUCUUGCUGCUCGUGACCUCCUAACUAUAGUUCGAAAGGAAAUGACGGAGAAGCUUUGUGAAGCAAAACCUGAACCUGUCACCGUGAAACCUAUACCCGUACAACAACCCAUUUCGUUUUCAAAGCCCAACAAAUCUUGUACCAUCGUUGUGUGUGGCACUUUCAGAUAUUCCUUUUGCUGAAUUUCUAAAAAGGUUGAUAAAAAAGAUAGGGAGGGUGAAAACAAAACAAAAGCAAAUGAGAAAAAGAUUGAAGGUUCCUUUGUUAGGAUUGAGGAGAAGGGCACAAGGAAGAAAAUGACAAAAGAGAGGUCGAUAUCCUGUCAUAGAAAUUCUAAUAACACCAAAAAAAAUGGAGAGAUAAAGCAUCAGUAUGGUGGCAAUGAGCUUAGUUCCCAUGAUGCUUUGGAGAUGAAGGUGGAAAGAAAAGGAAGUAGCACAAGGAAGAGGCAAGGAGCAGCUAGCUUUUUGAAAAGAAUAAAGCAAAAUUCACCGAGUCAAGUUAUGGAGAAUGAUGUUGAAGAUGAUUCCUCUGAGGAUGAGAGUAAAGAUGAGAAAGAAAAAGAGGAGAAAGGAAAAAGAGGAAGAAAUAGAGAUGGAAUUACAGAAAGAGUUACAAGGAGUUCUAGGGCUAGAGAAGAGAGUGGAAGUGCAAAGAGAAUUGGAAGGCCACCAAAGAAGCAGGCAAAAAGUACAGUGGAGUCGGGUGGUGGCAUAAGGAAGAAGAGAGGGAGAGAUAAUGGUGAUGCACGUGUAGAGGUUGGAGGUGGGAGGGCAAGGAAGAGGUCAAGGAGGUGAUGAUGAUUGCUGUAUGAUGUGAUUAUUGUUCGGAGUUAUAUAUAUGGAUUUUUUUUUUCAAAUGCUUAUAAGUUUAGAUUGUUACUAUUCAGUGAUAAAUGAGAG
RNAcentral lists this unclassified non-coding RNA (2124 nucleotides) under Hevea brasiliensis (rubber tree). The record is from RNAcentral. Lineage: Eukaryota; Viridiplantae; Streptophyta; Magnoliopsida; Malpighiales; Euphorbiaceae.